RNAcentral lists this long non-coding RNA (1198 nucleotides) under Vulpes vulpes (red fox). RNAcentral's name for it is "lncRNA (ENSVVUG00000010248.1)". Lineage: Eukaryota; Metazoa; Chordata; Mammalia; Carnivora; Canidae. The record is from RNAcentral.
AUGGGCUGGAGUGAAAGAGAUUUUUUAAAAAAGAAAGAAAGGGAACACCUGCAGAUGAAUAGAAUGCUUGCUCUCCCAGCCAAAAUUAUGGUUAAACUUUCCACUCUCAAAUGCCACUGUUGGAAAGGAGCUCUUGCACUGAAGAUCUUUAUAAUACAAGACAACAUAAAUAAGGGGCAGGGAAGGAUGGGCCCUUAGGGACCUGGGGUGAAAUUGCAAGACAGGUCACUUGGGGAGGGGAGAUCUGCAGGAGGAGGAGCCCAUCUGUGUACACUUGCAUAGAUGAAAGCUUCAUUGUAGUUCAUGUCCAACUGCAUUGAUUCCUGAGUUUCCUGUAAUCUUGGACAGAGUGCUGAAAUGUGAUGUCAGAGAAAGGAGACGUGGGUUCAAGUCCCAGGCCCACCCCUAUUUCGGGAAUCUUGGAAUCACCUCAGUCUCUCGUUUUCUUUGUCUGAAACAUGAAAAAAAAUCACUCAAUGAUCUCUGUGACCUCUUCUAGCUCAAAAGCAUGUGAUCAUGACCCUACCACCUUUCUCUCCACAUUAUUGAUGUGGCUACAGGAGUGUGCCCCACCUGAGGGAGUAUCCCACAUAACUAGCACCAUGAGAAGAUAUUACUAAGGAUUUUGGAGCCUAAAGAUAAGUUCUAUCCAUACCAAAGACCACCCUGUAGUCCUGCUAUAAGCCCUGGUCACCAAACCUAUGCAACACUGAAAUCUCCCUCAUGUUUGCAGCUAUCUGCUAUCUGCUGUGAUGCUCUGUCCCUUCCUGUGCCUUCUGGACCAAAGAAGGUUGGGCACUUGGAGAAGCCAGAAGAGGAAUGGCUCCACCUUGGGAUCAAAAUGAAUAUGCCUCCAAGAAGGCAGAGAAUUUGCCCUGGGGUUGAGAUAAUACAUGUGGCCAUUGAGAGCAGUAGGUUCCAGAUGGACCAGGACUGUCUCUUAUAGGCUUGUGAUCUAUGGGAUUUCACCUCACUGAGCCUCAGUUUCCUGACAUGUAACAGUGAUGAUGAUAAUAUGGCCUGAUGACAAAUAGCACCCCUGGAACAGGGCUAGAGGCUGUUGUAUGUGUGAAGUUCAGUACACACUUAACUGGCCCUUUGCCUACAAAAUAGUCCCAAAUUGCCACACAUGUGAUGAAAGGAAGAGGAAUCUCUCUCUUCAGGUGGCAGGAAAUGUGAAGUAGGUACAUGAGAAAGG